AGGUGGUAGGCUGAAAUCUUAGGUAAAUCCGGGGUUUCAAGGCCGAGAGCUGAUGACGAGUCGUCUUUUAGAUGACGAAGUGGUUGAUGCCAUGCUUCCAAGAAAAGCUUCUAAGCUUCAGGUAACCAGGAACCGUACCCCAAACCGACACAGGUGGUCGGGUAGAGGAUACCAAGCGCUUGAGAGAACUCGGGUGAAGGAACUAGGCAAAUGGCACCGUAACUUCGGGAGAAGGUGCGCCGGCUAGGGUGAAGGAUUUACUCCGUAAGCUCUGGCUGGUCGAAGAUACCAGGCCGCUGCGACUGUUUAUUAAAACACAGCACUCUGCAAACACGAAAGUGGACGUAUAGGUGUGACGCCUCCCCGGUGCCGGAAGGUUAAUUGAUGGGGUUAGCGCAAGCGAAGCUCUUGAUCGAAGCCCCGGUAAACGGCGGCCGUAACGAUAACGGUCCUAAGGUAGCGAAAUUCCUUGUCGGGUAAGUUCCGACCUGCACGAAUGGCGUAACGAUGGCGGCGCUGUCUCCACCGAGACUCAGUGAAAUUGAAAUCGCUGUGAAGAUGCAGUGUAUCCGCGGCUAGACGGAAAGACCCCGUGAACCUUUACUGUAGCUUUGCACUGGACUUUGAGCCUGCUGUGUAGGAUAGGUGGGAGGCUUUGAAGCGUGGACGCCAGUUCGCGUGGAGCCAUCCUUGAAAUACCACCCUGGCAUGCUUGAGGUUCUAACUCUGGUCCGUAAUCCGGAUCGAGGACAGUGUAUGGUGGGCAGUUUGACUGGGGCGGUCUCCUCUAAAGAGUAACGGAGGAGUACGAAGGUGCGCUCAGACCGGUCGGAAAUCGGUCGCAGAGUAUAAAGGCAAAAGCGCGCUUGACUGCGAGACAGACACGUCGAGCAGGUACGAAAGUAGGUCUUAGUGAUCCGGUGGUUCUGUAUGGAAGGGCCAUCGCUCAACGGAUAAAAGGUACUCCGGGGAUAACAGGCUGAUACCGCCCAAGAGUUCAUAUCGACGGCGGUGUUUGGCACCUCGAUGUCGGCUCAUCACAUCCUGGGGCUGAAGCCGGUCCCAAGGUAUGGCUGUUCGCCAUUUAAAGUGGUACGCGAGCUGGGUUUAGAACGUCGUGAGACAGUUCGGUCCCUAUCUGCCGUGGACGUUUGAGAUUUGAGAGGGCUGCUCCUAGUACGAGAGGACCGGAGUGGACGAACCUCUGGUGUUCCGGUUGUCACGCCAGUGGCAUUGCCGGGUAGCUAUGUUCGGAAAAAGAUAACCGCUGAAAGCAUCUAAGCGGGAAACUUGCCUCAAGAUGAGAUCUCACUGGGAACUUGAUUCCCCUGAAGGCCGUCGAAGACUACGACGUUGAUAGGCUGGNGUGUAAGCGUUGUGAGGCGUUGAGCUAACCAGUACCAAUUGCCCGUGAGG
RNAcentral lists this ribosomal RNA (1416 nucleotides) under metagenome. RNAcentral describes it as "bacterial LSU rRNA". It matches the Rfam family "Bacterial large subunit ribosomal RNA", at positions 1515 to 2916 of the family's 2925-position model. The record is from RNAcentral.